This 248-nucleotide ribosomal RNA is filed under the name uncultured bacterium. Its description in RNAcentral is "partial 16S ribosomal RNA". It matches the Rfam family "Bacterial small subunit ribosomal RNA", at positions 529 to 776 of the family's 1533-position model. The record is from RNAcentral.
AGGGGGCAAGCGUUAUUCGGAAUCAUUGGGCGUAAAGGGCGCGUAGGCGGCUUGGCAAGUCAAAGGUGAAAUCCCUCGGCCCAACCGAGGAACUGCCUUUGAUACUGCCUCGCUUGAGGCCGGGAGAGGGUAGCGGAAUUCCCAGUGUAGCGGUGAAAUGCGUAGAUAUUGGGAGGAACACCAGUGGCGAAGGCGGCUACCUGGACCGGUUCUGACGCUGAUGCGCGAAAGCGUGGGGAGCAAACAGG